UCUGGGGCUAGCUUGGGACUCAAGACAGACAUGAUUUCUGCCUUCCUGGAACUUGGAGUUAACAGUAAUUCUUUUUUAAAAAAUCACAUUUUUGAUUAUAUAACUGCAAACUGUAAGACUGCUAGGAAAUAAGGAUACAUAUAAUCAGAGGCAUAUAGCAGCAGCACUAACAGAGUUGACGGUGGAGAGGCUUCCCUGAGCAAGGGGUGUUUGAGGAUUCCCCACUACAUCCUUUCUACUCAAAGUGUGGUUCAAGGACCUGUAGCAUUGGAGUCUUCUGGGAACUGUUUAGAAACACAGAAUCUCAGACCCCACCCCAGACCUACGAACCCAGAAUCUGCAUUUUCACAAGGUCUCCAGUUCUCCUGGCUUUGCCUCCUCCAAGCUUCUAUUCCAUCCUUCCUUGGAGGCGAGACGGCACACAAC
Molecule: long non-coding RNA, 426 nt
Organism: Equus quagga
Lineage: Eukaryota; Metazoa; Chordata; Mammalia; Perissodactyla; Equidae
Exons: 3
Source: RefSeq, a predicted model, not a curated record